CAAAAUGGAGCUUCACUUAUGUUAACAUAAAUCCAGUGCUCUAACAAGAAGCAGAAAAGCUGAUAAAGUGGAAGUUAUCUUCUGUGCUCAGUGUCCAGAAUUUGGUGUGUUUGUCCUGCAAGAAUUUGUGACAGCAACAAAUAUCUUCAAGAUAAAGCAGUGAAAGCAGUGAGUCAGGUGGGAAAGAUGCCAAACUCGUCUAUCUCCUGUGCUCAGCUAGAGCAAGCCAAGGAUCUCCAGUUACUGUCAGUCUGUUUUCACUCUUUUUCAUGAGCCUUCACUUGAUAAAAUCGGACUUGGACCCUGAUGAUAGCAUGUGAAAUUGUUUGUUGUGGAUGUCCAUGGAUAAAUAUGACAAUGGU
This 362-nucleotide long non-coding RNA is filed under the name Numida meleagris (helmeted guineafowl). RNAcentral's name for it is "lncRNA (ENSNMEG00000006778.1)". The record is from RNAcentral. Lineage: Eukaryota; Metazoa; Chordata; Aves; Galliformes; Numididae.